CAGUAGCCACGGUAAUACAGAGGGUGCGAGCGUUAAUCGGAUUUACUGGGCGUAAAGCGUGCGUAGGCGGCUUUUUAAGUCGGAUGUGAAAUCCCUGAGCUUAACUUAGGAAUUGCAUUCGAUACUGGGAAGCUAGAGUAUGGGAGAGGAUGGUAGAAUUCCAGGUGUAGCGGUGAAAUGCGUAGAGAUCUGGAGGAAUACCGAUGGCGAAGGCAGCCAUCUGGCCUAAUACUGACGCUGAGGUACGAAAGCAUGGGGAGCAAACAGGAUUAUAUACCCCCGUAGUCCCUGUCUCUUAUAC
This 301-nucleotide ribosomal RNA is filed under the name uncultured bacterium. RNAcentral's name for it is "partial 16S ribosomal RNA". It matches the Rfam family "Bacterial small subunit ribosomal RNA", at positions 509 to 807 of the family's 1533-position model. The record is from RNAcentral.